RNAcentral lists this ribosomal RNA (330 nucleotides) under Grammatophora oceanica. RNAcentral describes it as "partial Bacterial small subunit ribosomal RNA". It matches the Rfam family "Bacterial small subunit ribosomal RNA", at positions 1083 to 1414 of the family's 1533-position model. Lineage: Eukaryota; Bacillariophyta; Fragilariophyceae; Rhabdonematales; Grammatophoraceae. The record is from RNAcentral.
AGUCCCGCAACGAGCGCAACCCUUGAUCUUAGUUGCCAGCAUUCAGUUGGGCACUCUAUGGAAACUGCCGAUGAUAAGUCGGAGGAAGGUGUGGAUGACGUCAAGUCCUCAUGGCCCUUACGGGUUGGGCUACACACGUGCUACAAUGGACGAAACAAUGAGAUGCAAGCUUGUGAAAGUUAGCCAAUCUAUAAAUUCGUUCUAAGUUCGGAUUGUAGGCUGCAACUCGCCUACAUAAAGUUGGAAUCGCUAGUAAUCGCUGGUCAGCUACACAGCGGUGAAUUCGUUCCCGGGCCUUGUACACACCGGCCGUCAAGUCACGAAAGUCGG